ACGAACCGUACGAACGUUAUUCGGAAUUACUGGGCUUAAAGGGUGCGUAGGCGGCGCGGUAAGUUGGGUGUGAAAGCCCUCAGCUCAACUGAGGAACUGCACUCAAAACUACCGUGCUCGAGGGAGACAGAGGUAAGCGGAACUCAAGGUGGAGCGGUGAAAUGCGUUGAUAUCUUGAGGAACACCGGUGGCGAAGGCGGCUUACUGGGUCUUUUCUGACGCUGAGGCACGAAAGCUAAGGUAGCAAACGGG
This 252-nucleotide ribosomal RNA is filed under the name uncultured bacterium. RNAcentral describes it as "partial 16S ribosomal RNA". It matches the Rfam family "Bacterial small subunit ribosomal RNA", at positions 525 to 776 of the family's 1533-position model. The record is from RNAcentral.